This is a small nucleolar RNA of Nannospalax galili (Upper Galilee mountains blind mole rat), 133 nucleotides long. The record is from Ensembl. Lineage: Eukaryota; Metazoa; Chordata; Mammalia; Rodentia; Spalacidae.
AUGCUGCCUUUGAGCCCUCACCGUGCCUCCUCGUGGCUCUGAGGGUUAAGCUGCGACGCCAUAGCACAUCGCUCAUGCAUAACUGGGGCCACCUGCUCAUUGAGGGUGGCCUCUUCAACCACCAGCUACAGGG